Molecule: ribosomal RNA, 449 nt
Filed under: uncultured Curtobacterium sp.
Lineage: Bacteria; Bacillati; Actinomycetota; Actinomycetes; Micrococcales; Microbacteriaceae
Description: bacterial SSU rRNA
Rfam family: Bacterial small subunit ribosomal RNA
Source: RNAcentral
CGGAGCAUGCGGAUUAAUUCGAUGCAACGCGAAGAACCUUACCAAGGCUUGACAUACACCGGUAACGCCCAGAGAUGGGUGCCCCUUUGUGGUCGGUGUACAGGUGGUGCAUGGUUGUCGUCAGCUCGUGUCGUGAGAUGUUGGGUUAAGUCCCGCAACGAGCGCAACCCUCGUCCUAUGUUGCCAGCGGGUCAUGCCGGGGACUCAUGGGAGACUGCCGGGGUCAACUCGGAGGAAGGUGGGGAUGACGUCAAAUCAUCAUGCCCCUUAUGUCUUGGGCUUCACGCAUGCUACAAUGGCCGGUACAAAGGGCUGCGAUACCGCGAGGUGGAGCGAAUCCCAGAAAGCCGGUCUCAGUUCGGAUUGGGGUCUGCAACUCGACCCCAUGAAGUCGGAGUCGCUAGUAAUCGCAGAUCAGCAACGCUGCGGUGAAUACGUUCCCGGGCCUU